Molecule: ribosomal RNA, 254 nt
Filed under: uncultured bacterium
Lineage: Bacteria
Description: partial 16S ribosomal RNA
Rfam family: Bacterial small subunit ribosomal RNA
Source: RNAcentral
UACGUAGGGUGCGAGCGUUGUCCGGAAUUAUUGGGCGUAAAGGGCUCGUAGGCGGUCUGUUGCGUCGGGAGUGAAAAACUCAGGGCUUAACCCUGAGCCUGCUUCCGAUACGGGCAGACUAGAGUGCUGUAGGGGAGACUGGAAUUCCUGGUGUAGCGGUGAAAUGCGCAGAUAUCAGGAGGAACACCGGUGGCGAAGGCGGGUCUCUGGGCAGUAACUGACGCUGAGGAGCGAAAGCGUGGGGAGCGAACAGG